AAAAAGGAGAAAGAAAAUUCUCUCAACAUCUACAAGCCGAUGUCUUAAACAAGAUCCGCAUAGUAACGAGGCCGAGCUUUGCGAUUUUUAGGUUUUUCUUGUNNNNUCCCCGCCCCAGCCCCUCCUUUUGCUGGGCCCUGCCCCCGCCGGCCCCGGUGGCGGCAGCUUUGAUGCUCUCAAUCGCAUAAUUGCAGACCUCUGCACCCGUGG
RNAcentral lists this unclassified non-coding RNA (210 nucleotides) under Hevea brasiliensis (rubber tree). The record is from RNAcentral. Lineage: Eukaryota; Viridiplantae; Streptophyta; Magnoliopsida; Malpighiales; Euphorbiaceae.